GGCUGGAUGGCCGAGUGGUCUAAGGCGCUGCGUUCAGGCCGCAGUCCUCGCGGGCGUGGGUUCGAAUCCCACUUCAGUCA
This is a non-coding RNA of Cyclospora cayetanensis, 80 nucleotides long. The record is from Rfam. NCBI's taxonomy places the organism in Eukaryota, Apicomplexa, Conoidasida, Eucoccidiorida, Eimeriidae.